This 701-nucleotide ribosomal RNA is filed under the name uncultured Acinetobacter sp. RNAcentral's name for it is "bacterial SSU rRNA". It matches the Rfam family "Bacterial small subunit ribosomal RNA", at positions 207 to 894 of the family's 1533-position model. The record is from RNAcentral. Lineage: Bacteria; Pseudomonadati; Pseudomonadota; Gammaproteobacteria; Moraxellales; Moraxellaceae.
CUUCGGACCUUGCGCUAAUAGAUGAGCCUAGUCAGAUAAGCUAGUUGGUGGGGUAAAGCCUACCAGGGCGACGAUCUGUAGCGGGUCUGAGAGGAUGAUCCGCCACACUGGGACUGAGACACGGCCCAGACUCCUACGGGAGGCAGCAGUGGGGAAUAUUGGACAAUGGGCGAAAGCCUGAUCCAGCCCAUGCCGCGUGUGUGAAGAAGGCCUUUUGGUUGUAAAGCACUUUAAGCGAGGAGGAGGCUACUUGGAUUAAUACUCUAGGAUAGUGGACGUUACUCGCAGAAUAAGCACCGGCUAACUCUGUGCCAGCAGCCGCGGUAAUACAGAGGGUGCGAGCGUUAAUCGGAUUUACUGGGCGUAAAGCGUGCGUAGGCGGCUUCUUAAGUCGGAUGUGAAAUCCCUGAGCUUAACUUAGGAAUUGCAUUCGAUACUGGGAAGCUAGAGUAUGGGAGAGGAUGGUAGAAUUCCAGGUGUAGCGGUGAAAUGCGUAGAGAUCUGGAGGAAUACCGAUGGCGAAGGCAGCCAUCUGGCCUAAUACUGACGCUGAGGUACGAAAGCAUGGGGAGCAAACUAGGAUUAGAUACCUCUGGUAGUCCUAUGCCGUAAACGAUGUCUACUAGCCGUUGGGGCCUUUGAGGCUUUAGUGGCGCAGCUAACGCGAUAAGUAGACCGCCUGGGGAGUACGGUCGCAAGAC